This 63-nucleotide small nuclear RNA is filed under the name Microcebus murinus (gray mouse lemur). RNAcentral describes it as "U7 small nuclear RNA (ENSMICG00000045879.1)". It matches the Rfam family "U7 small nuclear RNA". From Rfam's summary of the family: Animal histone pre-mRNAs are spliced by a different mechanism than nuclear pre-mRNAs and self-splicing introns. Lineage: Eukaryota; Metazoa; Chordata; Mammalia; Primates; Cheirogaleidae. The record is from Rfam by way of RNAcentral.
CAGUGUUACAGCUCUUUUAGAAUUUGUUUAGCAAGUUUUCCAGUUUUUACUAAGAAUAUCCCA